CAAUAGCGUAUAUUUAAGUUGCUGCAGUUAAAAAGCUCGUAGUUGGAUUUCGGGUGGGAAUGGCCGGUCCGCCGUUUCGGUGUGCACUUGCUACGCCCACCUUGCUGCCGGGGACGUGCUCUUGAGUUCACGCUCGGGACACGGAGUCGGCGAGGUUACUUUGAGUAAAUUAGAGUGUUCAAAGCAGGUCUACGCUCUGAAUACAUUAGCAUGGAAUAACACGAUGGGACUCUGGCCUAUCUUGUUGGUCUGUAGGACCGGAGUAAUGAUUAAGAGGGACAGUCGGGGGCAUUCGUAUUUCAUUGUCAGAGGUGAAAUUCUUGGAUUUAUGAAAGACGAACUACUGCGAAAGCAUUUGCCAAGGAUGUUUUCAUUAA
RNAcentral lists this ribosomal RNA (377 nucleotides) under uncultured eukaryote. RNAcentral's name for it is "partial 18S ribosomal RNA". It matches the Rfam family "Eukaryotic small subunit ribosomal RNA", at positions 592 to 976 of the family's 1831-position model. The record is from RNAcentral.